AGAGUUUGAUCAUGGCUCAGGACGAACGCUGGCGGCGUGCCUAAUGCAUGCAAGUCGCACGCAGGGUGCUUGCACUCUGAGUGGCGCACGGCUGAGUAGCACGUGGGAACGUACCCUCUGGUGGGGGAUAACGCCGCGAAAGCGACGCUAAUCCCGCAUAGCUUCUGCGGAAGAAAGCAGCGAUGCGCCAGAGGAGCGGCCCGCGGCCCAUCAGGUAGUUGGUGUGGUAACGGCGCACCAAGCCACUGACGGGUAGCUGGUCUGUGAGGACAGACAGCCAGACUGGGACUGAGAUACGGCCCAGACUCCUACGGGAGGCAGCAGCAAGGAAUUUUCGUCAAUGGGGGCAACCCUGAACGAGCAACGCCGCGUGGAGGAUGACGGCCUUCGGGUUGUAAACUCCUUUUGGGGGGGAAGACAUCGACGGUACCCCCUGAAUAAGGCUCGGCUAACUCUGUGCCAGCCGCCGCGGUAAUAC
Molecule: ribosomal RNA, 478 nt
Filed under: uncultured bacterium
Lineage: Bacteria
Description: bacterial SSU rRNA
Rfam family: Bacterial small subunit ribosomal RNA
Source: RNAcentral